GCCAUAGUAAGGUGGAAUCUGAGGGAAGUUAGAAGCAAACACCUACACUGACGAACAAAUAUUUCAUAAGAAAGGCCGGACUGGAGUGGAUAAGCUUGCUUAACAAAGUGGAGUCCAAUACUGUACAAGAUCCGUCAGGUAAAUGAAAUAGUGACAUCGGUGAUCAGUUUUUGAA
This is a non-coding RNA of Dolosigranulum pigrum ATCC 51524, 175 nucleotides long. The record is from Rfam. Lineage: Bacteria; Bacillati; Bacillota; Bacilli; Lactobacillales; Carnobacteriaceae.